RNAcentral lists this ribosomal RNA (261 nucleotides) under uncultured prokaryote. RNAcentral describes it as "partial 16S ribosomal RNA". It matches the Rfam family "Bacterial small subunit ribosomal RNA", at positions 524 to 784 of the family's 1533-position model. The record is from RNAcentral.
UACGUAGGUGGCGAGCGUUAUCCGGAAUUAUUGGGCGUAAAGAGCGCGCAGGUGGUUGAUUAAGUCUGAUGUGAAAGCCCACGGCUUAACCGUGGAGGGUCAUUGGAAACUGGUCGACUUGAGUGCAGAAGAGGGAAGUGGAAUUCCAUGUGUAGCGGUGAAAUGCCUAGAGAUAUGGAGGAACACCAGUGGCGAAGGCGGCUUCCUGGUCUGUAACUGACACUGAGGCGCGAAAGCGUGGGGAGCAAACAGGAUUAGAUA